AACGCUCCCGUGACCUACCCUGUAGUUCCGGGCUUUUGUUUAAAUGGCGUUCGGCACAUUGUCGGACUGCUGGCUCGAUUAUCAGAAGCUCGUCUCUACAGGUAUCUCACAGGGUAGAA
Molecule: microRNA precursor, 119 nt
Filed under: Drosophila melanogaster (fruit fly)
Lineage: Eukaryota; Metazoa; Arthropoda; Insecta; Diptera; Drosophilidae
Description: microRNA dme-mir-993 precursor
Gene: dme-mir-993
Rfam family: mir-10 microRNA precursor family (bases 9-112)
About the family: In this case the mature sequence comes from the 5' arm of the precursor.
Source: miRBase by way of RNAcentral